Molecule: long non-coding RNA, 468 nt
Filed under: Meriones unguiculatus (Mongolian gerbil)
Lineage: Eukaryota; Metazoa; Chordata; Mammalia; Rodentia; Muridae
Description: lncRNA (ENSMUGG00000023414.1)
Source: RNAcentral
GUACAGUUGAAAGCGGUCGCCAUCACUUGUGAGUUUGGCGUCAUCCAUUGUCACCACCGAGGAAUGCGCUUUGGGAGAUAACACCAAGCGCAGGGCUUCGCAAACGCGCAGAGCUCUCUGCCUGUUUCCAGGUGCGCUCCUAUCUGGUCCUCGGUCCCGGGUUCCCAGCAGCUGGGGGGAGCAACCAGGAACCAGUUACCGCGUCUGAACCUCAGGACCAGAGCGGCAGUUCUCAACGAUGGGCAGGUGGGACCUCGGCGGCGACCCCUAAAACAAUACCAUGCUCGGGGAGUCCCUCUGCUGCCGCAUCAGCUUCUUCCCUUUCCACCUCCCUGACCCUGUCGGAUUCGGAUGAGCUAAAGAGACAAGGCCGCCAGGUGAUAAGCAGAACUGCAUUGCUGAUGAUUUUUUUUUUUGAAAAUCCAAAGCUGAAGAGCAAACUAACCGUUGACUGUAAACAACACACAG